Molecule: transfer RNA, 72 nt
Filed under: Candidatus Scalindua sp.
Lineage: Bacteria; Pseudomonadati; Planctomycetota; Candidatus Brocadiia; Candidatus Brocadiales; Candidatus Scalinduaceae
Description: tRNA-Gly
Rfam family: tRNA
About the family: Transfer RNA (tRNA) molecules are approximately 80 nucleotides in length. Their secondary structure includes four short double-helical elements and three loops (D, anti-codon, and T loops). Further hydrogen bonds mediate the characteristic L-shaped molecular structure. tRNAs have two regions of fundamental functional importance: the anti-codon, which is responsible for specific mRNA codon recognition, and the 3' end, to which the tRNAs corresponding amino acid is attached (by aminoacyl-tRNA synthetases). tRNAs cope with the degeneracy of the genetic code in two manners: having more than one tRNA (with a specific anti-codon) for a particular amino acid; and 'wobble' base-pairing, i.e. permitting non-standard base-pairing at the 3rd anti-codon position.
Source: RNAcentral
GCGGGCGUAAUUCAGUGGUAGAAUACCAGCUUCCCAAGCUGGGUGUCGUGGGUUCGAAUCCCAUCGCCAGCU